UUCCGGUUGAUCCCGCCGGACCCGACUGCUAUUUGGGUGAGGAUAAGCCAUGCGAGUUGUAUGGGAUACCUAAAUUUCCCAUGGCAAACUGCUUAGUAACACAUGAUCAACUUACCCUAUGGAGAAAAAUAACCUCGGGAAACUGAGGAUAAUGUUUCAUAGGUGAAUAGGCUUGGAAAAGUUUUUCAUCGAAAAGGAUAAGAAAAAUGGUUUUUAUCUGCUAUAGGAUAGGAUCGUGGUCGAUUAUGGUUGUUGGUGAGGUAACGGCUCACCAAGCCGACAAUCGAUAGGGGCCGUGAGAGCGGGAGCCCCAAGAUGGGUACUGAGACAGCGACCCAGGCCUUACGAGGCGCAGCAGGCGCGGAACCUCCGCAAUACACGAAAGUGUGACGGGGUUACCCAAAGUGUUCUUUUAAGAACUGUGGUAGGUGAGUAAUAUCCCCUACUAGAAAGGAGAGGGCAAGGCUGGUGCCAGCCGCCGCGGUAAAACCAGCUCUUCAAGUGGUCGGGAUAAUUAUUGGGUUUAAAGUGUCCGUAGCCGGUUUAGUAAGUUCCUGGUAAAAUCGGGUAGCUUAACUAUCCGCAUGCUAGGAAUACUGCUAUACUAGAGGGCGGGAGAGGUCUGAGGUACUACAGGGGUAGGGGUGAAAUCUUAUAAUCCUUGUAGGACCACCAGUGGCGAAGGCGUCAGACUGGAACGCGCCUGACGGUGAGGGACGAAAGCCAGGGGAGCGAACCGGAUUAGAUACGUUGGUGUUAUUUGAAUGUAAUGUAAGAAUUACUAACACAAUGCUAAAAACCCGGGUAGUCCUGGCCGUAAACGAUGCAUACUAGGUGAUGAUACGGCCAUGAGCCGUGUCAGUGCCGUAGGGAAACCGUUAAGUGUGCCGCCUGGGAAGUACGGUCGCAAGGCUAAAACUUAAAGGAAUUGGCGGGGGAGCACCACAAGGGGUGAAGCCUGCGGUUCAAUUGGAGUCAACGCCGGGAAUCACUAGUGCGGCCGCUGCAGUCGACCAUUAUGGGAGAGCUCCCAACGCGUUGGAUGCAAUAGCUUGAGUAUUUCUUAUAGUGUCACUAAUAGCUU
Molecule: ribosomal RNA, 1084 nt
Filed under: uncultured archaeon
Lineage: Archaea
Description: bacterial SSU rRNA
Rfam family: Archaeal small subunit ribosomal RNA
Source: RNAcentral